CUACGGGAGGCAGCAGUGGGGAAUCUUAGACAAUGGGGGCAACCCUGAUCUAGCCAUGCCGCGUGAGUGAUGAAGGCCCUAGGGUCGUAAAGCUCUUUCGCCUGUGAUGAUAAUGACAGUAGCAGGUAAAGAAACCCCGGCUAACUCCGUGCCAGCAGCCGCGGUAAUACGGAGGGGGUUAGCGUUGUUCGGAAUUACUGGGCGUAAAGCGCACGUAGGCGGAUUGGAAAGUUGGGGGUGAAAUCCCGGGGCUCAACCCCGGAACUGCCCUCAAAACUAUCAGUCUAGAGUUCGAGAGAGGUGAGUGGAAUUCCGAGUGUAGAGGUGAAAUUCGUAGAUAUUCGGAGGAACACCAGUGGCGAAGGCGGCUCACUGGCUCGAUACUGACGCUGAGGUGCGAAAGUGUGGGGAGCAAACAGGAUUAGAUACCCUGGUAGUCCACACCGUAAACGAUGAAUGCCAGUCGUCGGGUAGUAUACUGCUCGGUGACACACCUAACGGAUUAAGCAUUCCGCCUGGGGAGUACGGUCGCAAGAUUAAAACUUAAAGGAAUUGACGGA
RNAcentral lists this ribosomal RNA (560 nucleotides) under uncultured bacterium. RNAcentral's name for it is "bacterial SSU rRNA". It matches the Rfam family "Bacterial small subunit ribosomal RNA", at positions 339 to 917 of the family's 1533-position model. The record is from RNAcentral.